UACGUAGGGGGCAAGCGUUGUCCGGAUUUAUUGGGCGUAAAGAGCGUGUAGGCGGCCCAUACAGGUCCGUUGUGAAAACUGGAGGCUUAACCUCCAGACGUCGAUGGAAACCGUAUGGCUAGAGUCCGGAAGAGGAGAGUGGAAUUCCUGGUGUAGCGGUGAAAUGCGCAGAUAUCAGGAAGAACACCCGUGGCGAAGGCGGCUCUCUGGGACGGUACUGACGCUGAGACGCGAAAGCGUGGGGAGCGAACAGG
Molecule: ribosomal RNA, 254 nt
Filed under: uncultured bacterium
Lineage: Bacteria
Description: partial 16S ribosomal RNA
Rfam family: Bacterial small subunit ribosomal RNA
Source: RNAcentral